This 1272-nucleotide long non-coding RNA is filed under the name Sinocyclocheilus anshuiensis. RNAcentral describes it as "lncRNA (ENSSANG00000001467.1)". The record is from RNAcentral. Lineage: Eukaryota; Metazoa; Chordata; Actinopteri; Cypriniformes; Cyprinidae.
ACAUAUCACUGUAUGCUUCCCACAGAGGGUUAACGCUCCUGCUGAACCGGAUGUGAUUCCUGCUCCGUUUCAGUGUUGUCGUUGCACGGCCAAUGGCGGACGGAGCCUGAGCAUUUGUCUGAAAAACGUACGUUUUGCACAAAUAUACUCGAAUAUCGAUAGGCCAGUCAAAGCUUUCAGAUCGCACGCGUGUUUUUGGCCCUGAUCAGAUUUGCGCCCAUCAGCAUGGAUGUGAAUUUGACCAUCUCUCUGAUGCGGGGCCAGAUGGGCGCUGUUAUUGAGAAAGCCGUGAACGUCGCGGUGGAGACCGUGCUAGGCGAGAUGAUCCGGGUGGUCGGGCUCAAAUUUGAGGAGAUCAAACGUGACAUGACAGCUAAAGAGAAGGAGAAUGAGAACAUCAGGAGGAUGUUGGAGGCGUCUCGCUGUCAGAUGAAAACCAUGCGCAAGUACAUCAGCGUCCUGUCUGCUAAAGACCCCAACCAUAGACUGUGUCAGGGAGAUGGAGACAUGGCAACAACAUCCACAGGGAUGCACUGCAGAAGAGGGCCGACGAGCACUGUGUCAGUGUGUGCCAAAACCCCAGACCCCUGUCCCAGACCCAGAGUCUCUGAACCAGCCCCUGUAGCUGCCCCCUCAUGGGUGAGGCUGAGACAGCAGAUGCACAUGUCCAAAGAAACAUUAAGAAGUGAGAAUCACAUUGCUGAUGUCCAUAUUGAAGAGAUCCAUGGAUCAUCAGUUCAUAAAGUUGAGAUCUCAAGCCCUCAUCUGGUGGACAGCCAGGUGCUUCUGUCUGAGACCAGUGAUCCAGUAUGGGGUCAGAACCCUCUCGUCUCUGCAGAGACUGGGCACACAGACAUGCCAGACAGCAGCGUCCUCUCUGCACCCAUGAUGGCAGAUGAAAGUGUGUCAUCCCAAACUACAAGCACAGUGGCAUUUGGAGCACCUUCACUUAAAAUCAAACAGGAGGAAGCGGAGGUUGAAAUAGUCUGUGUGAAGGAUGAACACGCAGAAGCUGGCAGCAUCCCUAGAUUUGAAUAUUCCGACCCUGAACUUCACCAGCAAGUGGGAGAACCAGAGCUCGGGGUCUCACUAGAUCUACCCGCAUCAUUUCAGGCUCUUCAGAGUCCAGGCACUUCAGCAGACCUUGCAAUCCCAGCAUUCAUGAGUGUGGACCCAACUACCUUCAUUCCAUGAUGGGGAUCACAAGAGAAAUGCAUCAACAUGAACAGGUGAGUCUAGCUGCUUUACUUGAACUUUAAAGGUCACUCUGAC